GACGAACGCUGGCGGCGUGCUUAACACAUGCAAGUCGAACGGAAAGGCCCUGCUUUUGUUGCUUGCUCGAGUGGCGAACGGGUGAGUAACACGUGAGUAACCUGCCCCUGACUUUGGGAUAACUUCAGGAAACUGGGGCUAAUACCGGAUAGGAGCUCCUGCUGCAUGGUGGGGGUUGGAAAGUUUCGGCGGUUGGGGAUGGACUCGCGGCUUAUCAGCUUGUUGGUGGGGUAGUGGCUUACCAAGGCUUUGACGGGUAGCCGGCCUGAGAGGGUGACCGGCCACAUUGGGACUGAGAUACGGCCCAGACUCCUACGGGAGGCAGCAGUGGGGAAUAUUGCACAAUGGGCGGAAGCCUGAUGAAGAAACGCCGCGUGCGGGAUGACGGCCUUCGGGUUGUAAACCGCUUUCGCAUGUGACGAAGCGUGAGUGACGGUAAUGGGUAAAGAAGCACCGGCUAACUACGUG
This 468-nucleotide ribosomal RNA is filed under the name uncultured bacterium. RNAcentral describes it as "partial 16S ribosomal RNA". It matches the Rfam family "Bacterial small subunit ribosomal RNA", at positions 28 to 507 of the family's 1533-position model. The record is from RNAcentral.